Molecule: long non-coding RNA, 867 nt
Filed under: Ficedula albicollis (Collared flycatcher)
Lineage: Eukaryota; Metazoa; Chordata; Aves; Passeriformes; Muscicapidae
Description: lncRNA (ENSFALG00000028519.1)
Source: RNAcentral
GGGGGGGGGGGGGGGGGGGGGGGGGGGGGGGGGGGGGGGGGGGGGGGGGGGGGGGGGGAAGGUGCUGCUGCUGCUGCCCAGAGCAGCCGGCAGCGCUGGCACCGCUGCUGGAGCAGAGCUGGCAGCGGGCUGGGGCUGGGGGAGCUGCAGGGGGGGCUCAGCCUGCGCUGGGCACGCAGCAGGCACAGCUGCAGGGUGGGGACAGGCUCCCCUGCUGCGGGCAGGGCUGGGCACCCUGCACUGGGUGCAGUGAACCCUGCACUGGGUGUAUUGAACCCUGCACUGCGUGUAUUGUGUCCUGCAUCGGGUGUAUUGUGUCCUGCAUCGGGUGUAUUGAAUCCUGGGUGUAGUGCAUCCUGUAUUGCAUUUACUGCAUCCUGUAUUGGAUUUACUGCAUCCUAUACUGGGUGUAUUGAACCCUGCACUGGAUUUACUGCAUCCUGCAUUCCUGCAUUGGGUGUAGUGCAUCCUGUAUUGGAUUUUACUGCAUCCUGCAUUGGGUGUAUUGAAUCCUGCAUUGGGUGUAUUGAAUCUUGUACUGGAUGUACUGAAUCCUGCAUUGGAUGUAUUGCACCCUGUACUGGGUUUACUGCACCCUGUACUGGAUGUACUGCAUCCUGCAUUGGGUGUAUUGAAUCCUGCAUUGGAUGCAUUGCACCCUGCAUUGGAUUUACUGCACCCUGCAUUGGGUUUACUGCAUCCUGUACUGGGUAUAUGAAAUCCUGUAUUGGGGUGCUGGGGCUCACAGCUGCAGCCAGUUUGUGUUUGCCAUCCCAGUACUGCAGGCAAUGCAAACCAGGAGUUGGGUUUUGCCAACCCAGUACAGCACUGGAUGCGAACUGGGAAUUUGUUCUUGCCAUCCCAUGA